GACGUGUCAGACUGGGUUCACUAACAAUGAACCGGUUCUGACCUCAGGCCCCCCCUCUCCCCGAAGCCCGCAAUCCCUCCCUUCUCGAAUUCGAAAACUCCAUUCUCCCUCUCCCCAAAGCCCUCAAUCCCUCCCUUCUUUGCCGUCCCGAUUUCAUCCUAUAUCGUUGUUCUCGUGAUAAAAAUGGAUCCCCCGCGCGUCGUUAAAAAGCUAACCAUAUUAGUAGUUUUAUACAAAGAUAGCUCGAUAAAAGUGCAUAGAGCGGACCAGAAGAUAGAUCGAUAAAAGCUUCUUCAAGGCUUUUUAAUGAUCUUCUACGUGGCGUUUACUUAUACCUCAAAAGGAUAAAAGGUAGAGCUUCCCCACUUCAUCUUCUCUCUGGACGUCCCGUGAUCCUUUCUCUCUUGCAUUCAUACACAAAAAUCUGCACCAGAAUCCAGGAUAAUGUCGAAGAGAAACCACACCUGAUUUCUUAUCUGCAGCCACAUCAUGGGAGAAGCAAUAUGUGAAUUCUUCGUAUGGGUAGACAUACUUCAAAUUGAUAGACGAGAAAAUUUUCACAAGGGAAUAUAGAGUUCGGAAUAGGGAGGAUGAUGUCUUGUUGCGCGAGUAUGAACCUCA
Long non-coding RNA from Juglans microcarpa x Juglans regia, 621 nucleotides. RefSeq lists it as uncharacterized. The transcript has 3 exons. Lineage: Eukaryota; Viridiplantae; Streptophyta; Magnoliopsida; Fagales; Juglandaceae. The record is from RefSeq and is a predicted model, not a curated record.